AUGAUGCUGAGGUCUCCUCUGCCGGCGGCUGCAGCUUCUCACACAGCCUCUCAUGUUUCGCUCCCUCUUUUCUUCUUCUUUUUAACUAGCGCGCGGGGAGGUGCUGCCACCGCGCGCCCCUUGACGUCACCGCUCCUCGCGCGCCCCCGCCCGGGCCGAGGUGGGGGUGGAGGGGAGGGGGCGGCCCCGGCGCGAGCGCGUCCCCCGGGCCCGACGGCCUCGCGGCUGCGGCGGGGAGGGGCCACAGGCCGCGGCGGCGGACGGAGGGGGAGGGCCUGUCGGAGCCCUCGGAGCCAGCCUCGAAGGCGCGGGACGGAGCGCGCCCGCCUCGCCAGGGCGCCCGGCUGGGGGCGUCCCUGGCCCCGGCCCGCUGGCGCGCGGAGAUGGCUCGCUGGUUCUCCUCUCUUCCCCAGAGCCCCUCCGCACUACCCCUGGCUAAAGGCGGCCCGGCCGAGGCUCCGAAAGCAAUGGCUUGAGCUCCGACUCCAAGUGAUGAAUUCAUCUUAGUAGUUUUGGAACAGGCCUUCCUUAUGGUUUGUACUUCAAGACUAAGGACACUUAAAAGAGGGAAGUUGCAUAGUUCACCUGUAACCAACUUGACAGCAUAAUUUUUAGGAGUCAAGAAUCGACAUUGGGUUAUUUCUUAAGAUUGAGCCUUGAAAGUCCACUUGGAUGUGGCGCAGCUCUGUGCGCACUUGCACAUGAAAAUGAUCUUCCAUCAAGGAGCUCUCCCUCUUCAGCUAAAUCAACAGCAGUCGUUCGAAGAAGAAGGGACCCCCUAUCUGACCAAACUCAGCCAGACUAAUCAAAUAAGUCUUUGUGAGCAAGGAGUAAAGCUGCACUAGGGUGGCCCCAUCACACCUUUCUUGAGCAGCUCCCUCUAAGAUUGCCACCUACAUGCAGGUCAUACCCUGGACGAAGGAUGGAUGGAAGAUUCUUGUGAACAGAUUAGGUUUAUUGUAAAAGAUGAAAUAUUUGACCAAAAUUGAAGUUAAUUUCAUGGAUAAAGUUCAAAAUAUUACUGUGGAUAUGAAUUAUGUUUGUAUGUAUUUAUAGAUGUAUGUAUAUAUAGUUAUGUGGUUACAUGUUUCUAUGUAUCAGAAAUUAGCACAACUUAAACUUAGUAAAUGUUGAAAAUAAAACUGUUUUGGAUAUUGGAA
Molecule: RNA transcript, 1160 nt
Organism: Leopardus geoffroyi (Geoffroy's cat)
Lineage: Eukaryota; Metazoa; Chordata; Mammalia; Carnivora; Felidae
Gene name: translation initiation factor IF-2-like
Exons: 3
Source: RefSeq, a predicted model, not a curated record